GCCGGGAUGGCAGAAUCAGGUAAUGCGCUGGACUCGAGAUCCAGUGCCCUUUGGGCUCGAGAGUUCAAAUCUCUCUCCCGGCG
Molecule: transfer RNA, 83 nt
Filed under: Candidatus Aenigmarchaeota archaeon CG_4_10_14_0_8_um_filter_37_24
Lineage: Archaea; Nanobdellati; Candidatus Aenigmatarchaeota
Also listed under: 5 other names
Description: tRNA-Ser
Rfam family: tRNA
About the family: Transfer RNA (tRNA) molecules are approximately 80 nucleotides in length. Their secondary structure includes four short double-helical elements and three loops (D, anti-codon, and T loops). Further hydrogen bonds mediate the characteristic L-shaped molecular structure. tRNAs have two regions of fundamental functional importance: the anti-codon, which is responsible for specific mRNA codon recognition, and the 3' end, to which the tRNAs corresponding amino acid is attached (by aminoacyl-tRNA synthetases). tRNAs cope with the degeneracy of the genetic code in two manners: having more than one tRNA (with a specific anti-codon) for a particular amino acid; and 'wobble' base-pairing, i.e. permitting non-standard base-pairing at the 3rd anti-codon position.
Source: RNAcentral